UUUCUCCUUCAACCACCGCAACAGCCACCUUCCGGCGCGCGUCCGUAGGCAAUCGCGCUUCCUCACUCCUUCCUCUCCCUUCCAGUUCAGACCCCUCGCUCUCCCUUCUCAUCCCUCGCCGCUCAAAGACGAAUCCGAUCCUCAAGGUAGAAACCCUAAACCAGAGCACAAAAUUGCAAUGGAUAAUUUAUUUUUGUCUGAAUGAUUAUUGAAAUUGAUCAUAUGUUAUUCAAUUGGUAGUCAUUAGAAUACCAAACAAAUUACUAAUUGAAAUACAAAGAUGUAUUCUGUUUUAGCUACAUAGAUUUUGCAAUUUGCUUCAUGAAAUGUGUAUCAGUGCUUGAAUUUUUUUUGUUUAAUAGUAAUCUCCUUUGAUGUAGUCAUUGAGUCGCUUCAGUUCUCCACCUUGUUGCUCCAUCACUGCUCUUACAACAUCUACAAUGGAAAUCAUACCAACUAUUUUCCCAUCAAUAACCGGAACAUGCCGGAUGUGAUUCUCUGCAAGAAAAAGAGGCAGUGGUCUUUGAUGUUUGAAUUUUGAUCACUUAAGCAUUGCGAGUUGCGACAAAUGAACAACAGAAGAGUUACCUAUCAUAAGUCUCAUUGCUUGAAGAAUGUUGGUUUCAGAUGUCACUGUUAUCAGAUUGUUCUGUUUACAGGUAACCUCAUCACUCACAAUGAAAAUGCUCAAUUGAGUUGUAUAUAAUGGAAAUGAAAGAGUGUAAAAUCACCUCAUCAGUCAUGAUUUGACCAACUUGUGUGUAUAAAGGAGACCUUCCUUGUGCAAUUAUUUUCUUCAAGCAAUCUGCCAGCUCAAGCAUGUAGCCAACAAAGAGAUUCAAUUUGCGAGAGUGGUUAUACGUGGAUAUCCGGUUUUCAUUGGACAUUCAAUCAACACACGCUUCAGCGGCGGUUGGUGAUAAACCGCCGUUCAAGUGUGUUUUGAUAUUGAUGAAAACCGCAUGUCUCAGUAAGUUUUCAUUUGUUCACUAUUGUUUGCUUUGGUUUACAAGGGUAGCACAAAUUCUAGCUUAACUUGAAGUACAUGAAUUAAUUGGAAACUCAUACCUCGUUCUGUGACAAUGCCUGCUAUAUGCUGACCUUCUGGAUUUAGCACCACCAAUGAUCCAAUAUUAUUUUCUGCCAUCUAAAUCCAUACACCAUGUUUGUUAACAAAUCUUAUGAAACUUAUAAUUAGAGGAAACAUAUGAACAAAUUGAAACUAUCUUACAUUCUUCAUUGCAUUGAUUACAGCAUCAUCAACUCUGCACCAAAGCCAGGAACCAUUUUUGUCUUCCCCUUUUGUCAUCAGCACGUCAGAUACUGUGACAUUCUCCAAUCCUUUCUGCUGCAUUGGUGGAGAGGUUGUGACACAUCCAAAACCUGCAGAUAGCUUGUUCGGG
RNAcentral lists this long non-coding RNA (1403 nucleotides) under Lotus japonicus. RNAcentral describes it as "long non-coding RNA (LJAP_LNC001098)". The record is from RNAcentral. Lineage: Eukaryota; Viridiplantae; Streptophyta; Magnoliopsida; Fabales; Fabaceae.